Non-coding RNA from Camelina sativa (false flax), 760 nucleotides. NCBI's taxonomy places the organism in Eukaryota, Viridiplantae, Streptophyta, Magnoliopsida, Brassicales, Brassicaceae. The record is from RefSeq and is a predicted model, not a curated record.
AUUUCUCUCAUCCCCAACUCUCUCACUAUCUCUCUUCACCACUAAAGGGUUAUGCGUGUUGCAUGUUGUGACCCUCUUUCUCUUAGCAGCAAAAGCAUCGACUCUUUAAGGCUCUCCUUCUUCUCUCUUCUUCGAUGUUACAGGCAGAACAUCUCUAGGUAAGAAGCUGAAGCUGGAAGGUUGCAUGCGAAUGUUGCAUGAGGGGAUAAAGAUGAGAUUUGGGGUUGUUACUGAAUGGUGACUGGUGAACCUUACUGGUGAAAGAUGAGAUUCAUAAGGAAGUGUUCUUACAAUGACCUUACUGAGCAUAAGCUGAUCGACAAACCUCUAACCUUUUAAACCUGAGACACCCGAUGAUGAAAAAGAACAGCCUCCUAAUGGUGGUGUGGUGGAAAAUCAACAUCAUGUGCAUCACCAUUUGGAAUGCUAUUUCUUUUGACUGCAGUUUUGAGUCCUACAAAAGCAGGCCCCUGUGUUCCUGAACGAGGAAGAGGGACCUUAGACAUGCAAGUGUAAGUUUGAGUACUCUAAUAAGUCUCUGACUUUAAUUAUGUGCCUUUUUGAGAUUGUAACAUGUUUAAAUUCCAAUAGUAUAUGAUUUGUUUGACUUAGAUGGCCAUACUAAUAAUUUAUGUUUUUAUCGGUUUUUAACCGUGUUUUACAUUCAAAUUUUGAGUUUUUUCGAUAAGAACAAGAUGUUUUCUCGGUGUUUUCGUACUAUUUCUUAUACUUUCAGGUUCUAAGAUGUUUUGGAGAGAAA